GAGCAUGCGCAUAAUUGCAGGCCCAGCAAACUGUGUCUGCUGUGCUUGCGAUCUCAUACAACAGGCUGCCAUAUGAUCCGGUGGUCACCGUCUGAAUCGUGAGCUUUUCCAGUCUUUCCUCUCGUCAUCUCCAGUCUUCUUCUUCGCCACUACGCCUUCAUCUACACAUCUUCGCCAUCUACACAGACAUCUACAUAUCCAGUCAUCAUAGUCGCCAUCACCAACAUCACCAUCAACAUAGAACUACUUCAUCUCAGCAUUCAUCAUUAUUAUGUUGUCUCUUCCAUGGUGUGAUCCAUGUGAUGAUGAUGCAGAAAGAAGUCUGUGUUUGAAGUCACCAACUACUCUUCUGGGUCCUACCUGACACCUGAACUGUGAUGAUUCACGCAACAGGUUGGCACUGGGUAGAUGAUAAGCAGGUUCUUAGAGUCAACGGGAGGUAAGGAAGUCAUACUUUUAUGUAGCAUUAAUGCCUGCAAAUGCAAUGACAUUUUCUCUAUCAGUGGUACAAAAAAAAAUUAUUUGGGAUUUAUAUAUUACACAUUGGACACGAUUGGAAGAGAGUUAAAACAGGAGGGUUUAAUGGGAUCACAUUUCCUCUAUCAAUUGAACAAAAUUAUAAGAAAUAUUUAGAAUAUAUAGAUUACACAUUGGACACAGUUUAGCAGGAUUAGUAAAACAUGAUGGGUAAGAUAGGAGGGGGUUGAAGUUCUUACCUAUUUUCCAGACUAGUUAUAAUGACAAAGGUCAGACCAUUUCAUUUCAUGUCAUGUCAUUCCUACAUUUCAUUUCUACAUUUCAUUCCUACAUUUCUUGAUAUAAUUGUAAUUCAACAUUCUAUAUUCUAACAAUGCAAUUUGUAUAUAGGCAGAAACUAAACCUAAGAAAAUAAGCAAAACGGGAUAAAAUGAUAAUAAAGUCCAUGAUCAAAAUAAAUAUCCCAAACAAGGGCAGAUUGAUCCAAAUUCCCUACUGGUUCCUCCAUUCCACAGAGGAUUUUUAAUUGGUUUCAGAGUGUCUAAGUCACUAUGUGGAAGGAAUCCAAAUCAUAGAGGGCAUUACAUGUGUACCCUUGAUUCAAAAUGCAGAGAGUCAUGGACAAAGUCAUGGACAAAGUCAUGUACAAAUUCAUGAGAAAGGCUCCUUCGUGUACUGGCCCUCCGUUUGACCUCCCAUCCCGGAGCGGUGGGAACUGUAGCCCAGAUUGGCAUGAAAGCAAUUGCUUUAUGCAGUCUGGUUUGCACAAAGAUGUAGCAUUUUCAUAUUCAGCUAUCCUCCAAGUUUUGCCACACCUCCUUUAUAAGAUGUAACAUAUACAUGUAGAACAUCUUAGAAGAGUUCACCAUCAUUUUUUUUACUCUUGAUGAAAGAGGGAUGAUGAAUUUGACUGUAUUGAUAUACAUGUAUAAAUCUUUAUCAAGAAUUAUCAUUAUUAUUGGUACCAGUUGUCAUGGUAAUCUUGGCUACCUCAUCAGUUCAGGGCAAUUCAUGCUUGAGUAUUUGAUGCCAAGCGAUGAUGGAGUAUAUCAGAAUCAUAUCAGAAGUAUGGCUGUCAUUUAGUUGCACCUUGUAAAUCACGUCUGACGUCAUGUCUGAACUUUCAGUUUACCCUGAGCUGGUAUAAUAAUACUACAGCAUU
This 1639-nucleotide long non-coding RNA is filed under the name Strongylocentrotus purpuratus (purple sea urchin). RNAcentral describes it as "uncharacterized LOC115926611, transcript variant X1". Lineage: Eukaryota; Metazoa; Echinodermata; Echinoidea; Camarodonta; Strongylocentrotidae. The record is from RNAcentral.